This 339-nucleotide ribosomal RNA is filed under the name Triticum aestivum (bread wheat). Its description in RNAcentral is "partial small subunit ribosomal RNA". Lineage: Eukaryota; Viridiplantae; Streptophyta; Magnoliopsida; Poales; Poaceae. The record is from RNAcentral.
AUGGCGAAAUAUUAUGCUAACCGCAUAAGGGAGAAGUACUCUGACAUAAUUCCUGUGAUCGUUGAGAAGGCUGGGAAGAGUGAUAUUCCUGACAUUGACAAGAAAAAGUACCUUGUUCCUGCUGACCUUACAGUUGGACAGUUCGUGUACGUUGUCCGGAAGCGGAUCAAGCUCAGUGCUGAGAAGGCCAUCUUCAUCUUUGUGAAGAACACUCUUCCACCGACAGUAUUAUGCUCUCGAAUGGACAAUCUUAUAUCAGAACAAUACAAUAGUCAGAGUACACAGAACUUUAUGAUUCACAUUCAAUAUUUUGUAACAAUAAUCACACUCAUUUACUGA